RNAcentral lists this transfer RNA (74 nucleotides) under Parcubacteria group bacterium RIFCSPHIGHO2_01_FULL_45_26. RNAcentral's name for it is "tRNA-Val". It matches the Rfam family "tRNA". From Rfam's summary of the family: Transfer RNA (tRNA) molecules are approximately 80 nucleotides in length. Their secondary structure includes four short double-helical elements and three loops (D, anti-codon, and T loops). The record is from RNAcentral.
GGGCGGUUAGCUCAGCUGGUUAGAGCGUCCCGUUUACACCGGGAAGGCCCGGGGUUCGAAUCCUCGACCGCCCA